GUGCAGCAGUCGAGAAUUUUUCUCAAUGGGGGCAACCCUGAAGGAGCGACGCCGCGUGGAGGAUGAAGGCUUUCGGGUUGUAAACUCCUGUCAUUUGAGAACAAGUGCCAACAAGUAACUACUGUUGGCUUGAUAGUAUCAGAAGAGGAAGGGACGGCUAACUCUGUGCCAGCAGCCGCGGUAAUACAGAGGUCCCAAGCGUUGUUCGGAUUCAUUGGGCGUAAAGGGUGCGUAGGUGGCGUGGUAAGUCGGGUGUGAAAUUUCGGAGCUUAACUCCGAAACUGCAUUCGAUACUGCCGUGCUUGAGGACUGGAGAGGAGACUGGAAUUUACGGUGUAGCAGUGAAAUGCGUAGAGAUCGUAAGGAAGACCAGUGGCGAAGGCGGGUCUCUGGACAGUUCCUGACACUGAGGCACGAAGGCCAGGGGAGCAAACGGGAUUAGAUACCCCUGUAGU
This 455-nucleotide ribosomal RNA is filed under the name uncultured organism. RNAcentral's name for it is "bacterial SSU rRNA". It matches the Rfam family "Bacterial small subunit ribosomal RNA", at positions 346 to 794 of the family's 1533-position model. The record is from RNAcentral.